Molecule: ribosomal RNA, 476 nt
Filed under: uncultured bacterium
Lineage: Bacteria
Description: partial 16S ribosomal RNA
Rfam family: Bacterial small subunit ribosomal RNA
Source: RNAcentral
UGGGGAAUAUUGCACAAUGGGCGCAAGCCUGAUGCAGCCAUGCCGCGUGUAUGAAGAAGGCCUUCGGGUUGUAAAGUACUUUCAGCGAGGAGGAAGGCAUUAAGGUUAAUAACCUUAGUGAUUGACGUUACUCGCAGAAGAAGCACCGGCUAACUCCGUGCCAGCAGCCGCGGUAAUACGGAGGGUGCAAGCGUUAAUCGGAAUUACUGGGCGUAAAGCGCACGCAGGCGGUCUGUUAAGUCAGAUGUGAAAUCCCCGGGCUCAACCUGGGAACUGCAUUUGAAACUGGCAGGCUUGAGUCUUGUAGAGGGGGGUAGAAUUCCAGGUGUAGCGGUGAAAUGCGUAGAGAUCUGGAGGAAUACCGGUGGCGAAGGCGGCCCCCCUGGACAAAGACUGACGCUCAGGUGCGAAAGCGUGGGGCAGCAAACAGGAUUAGAGUACCCUGGUAGUCCACGCUGUAAACGAUGUCGACUUGG